UGAGGAAUAUUGGUCAAUGGUCGGGAGACUGAACCAGCCAAGCCGCGUGAGGGAUGAAGGUACAGAGUAUCGUAAACCUCUUUUGUCAGGGAACAAAAGGCGCCACGCGUGGCGCUCCGAGUGUACCUGAAGAAAAAGCAUCGGCUAACUCCGUGCCAGCAGCCGCGGUAAUACGGAGGAUGCGAGCGUUAUCCGGAUUUAUUGGGUUUAAAGGGUGCGUAGGCGGCGAGUUAAGUCAGCGGUAAAAGCCCGGGGCUCAACCCCGGCCCGCCGUUGAAACUGCUUGCUUGAGUUGGAGAGAAGUAGGCGGAAGUGCGCGGUGUAGCGGUGAAAUGCUUAGAUAUCGCGCAGAACUCCGAUUGCGAAGGCAGCCUACCGGCUCCAGACUGACGCUGAGGCACGAAAGCGUGGGGCUAAUCGAACAGGGAUUAGAUAUCC
Molecule: ribosomal RNA, 438 nt
Filed under: uncultured bacterium
Lineage: Bacteria
Description: bacterial SSU rRNA
Rfam family: Bacterial small subunit ribosomal RNA
Source: RNAcentral